Molecule: non-coding RNA, 107 nt
Organism: Solanum lycopersicum (tomato)
Lineage: Eukaryota; Viridiplantae; Streptophyta; Magnoliopsida; Solanales; Solanaceae
Source: Rfam
UGGUGAUGAGGAGGGAAAGUCAUCAACAUUGAUUUAAACCUGUCCUAGGCCUGGUAUAUGUUUUCACCACCUUUCUGUCUAAAGCUAAGAAUAUCACUUCUCAACUU